This 369-nucleotide ribosomal RNA is filed under the name uncultured Thermoplasmatales archaeon. RNAcentral's name for it is "bacterial SSU rRNA". It matches the Rfam family "Archaeal small subunit ribosomal RNA", at positions 526 to 894 of the family's 1478-position model. Lineage: Archaea; Methanobacteriati; Thermoplasmatota; Thermoplasmata; Thermoplasmatales. The record is from RNAcentral.
UGGCCGGCCAAUGCUCCGGGGAAAUCGGGCCGCUCAACUGUCCGAAUUCCGGAGACACUGUUCGGCUUGGGAUCGGGAGAGGGUGAAGGUACUCCCUGGGUAGGGGUAAAAUCCUGUAAUCCGGGGGGGACCACCAGUGGCGAAGGCGUUCACCUAGAACGAAUCCGACAGUGAGGGACGAAGCCCUAGGGCGCAUACGGGAUUAGAUACCCCGGUAGUCUAGGGUGUAAACGCUGCAGACUUGGUGUUGGGGGUCCUGCGUGGGCUGCCAGUCGCCGGAGCGAAGGUGUUAAGUCUGCCGCUUGGGGAGUACGGUCGCAAGACUGAAACUUAAAGGAAUUGGCGGGAGAGCACCGCAUCGGGACGAGC